ACCUACGGGGGGCAGCAGUGGGGAAUAUUGCACAAUGGGGGAAACCCUGAUGCAGCAACGCCGCGUGAGUGAAGAAGUAUUUCGGUAUGUAAAGCUCUAUCAGCAGGGAAGAGAAUGACGGUACCUGACUAAGAAGCCCCGACUAACUACGUGCCAGCAGCCGCGGUAAUACGUAGGGGGCGAGCGUUAUCCGGAUUUACUGGGUGUAAAGGGCGUGUAGGCGGGCAUGCAAGCCAGAAGUGAAAUCUGGGGGCUUAACCCCCAAACUGCUUUUGGAACUGCGUGUCUUGAGUGAUGGAGAGGCA
RNAcentral lists this ribosomal RNA (305 nucleotides) under uncultured bacterium. Its description in RNAcentral is "bacterial SSU rRNA". It matches the Rfam family "Bacterial small subunit ribosomal RNA", at positions 337 to 659 of the family's 1533-position model. The record is from RNAcentral.